GAUCAUGGCUCAGAUUGAACGCUGGCGGCAAGGCCUAACACAUGCAAGUCGAACGGUAACAGGAAGGAGCUUGCUUCUUUGCUGACGAGUGGCGGACGGGUGAGUAAUGUCUGGGAAACUGCCUGAUGAGGGGGAUAACUACUGGAAACGGUAGCUAAUACCGCAUAACGUCGCAAGACCGAAAGAGGGGGGACCUUCGGGCCUCUUGCCAUCGGAUGUGCCCAGAUGGGAUUAGCUAGUAGGUGGGGUAACGGCUCACCUAGGCGACGAUCCCUAGCUGGUCUGAGAGGAUGACCAGCCACACUGGAACUGAGACACGGUCCAGACUCCUACGGGAGGCAGCAGUGGGGAAUAUUGCACAAUGGGCGCAAGCCUGAUGCAGCCAUGCCGCGUGUAUGAAGAAGGCCUUCGGGUUGUAAAGUACUUUCAGCGGGGAGGAAGGGAGUAAAGUUAAUACCUUUGCUCAUUGACGUUACCCGCAGAAGAAGCACCGGCUAACUCCGUG
This 505-nucleotide ribosomal RNA is filed under the name uncultured bacterium. RNAcentral's name for it is "bacterial SSU rRNA". It matches the Rfam family "Bacterial small subunit ribosomal RNA", at positions 15 to 507 of the family's 1533-position model. The record is from RNAcentral.